RNAcentral lists this ribosomal RNA (3086 nucleotides) under wastewater metagenome. Its description in RNAcentral is "bacterial LSU rRNA". It matches the Rfam family "Bacterial large subunit ribosomal RNA". The record is from RNAcentral.
AAGCGUAGGGUGGAUACCUAGGCAUCUAGAGACGAUGAAGGGCGUGGAACCGACGAUACACUUCGGCGAAUUGGAAACAAGUAAUGACCCGAAGAUUCCCGAAUAGGGCAACCUUUUAAACUAUUUGCUAAAUUCAUAAGCAAAUUAGAGAUAACUCAGUGAACUGAAACAUCUUAGUAACUGAAGGAAAAGAAAGCAAAAGCGAUUUCCUUAGUAGUGGUGAGCGAAAAGGAAACAGCCUAAACCAAUUAAUUAAUAUUGGGGUUGUGGGAUAAUUUAUUUUAAAAAUUAAUAAAAGGUUAUUAUAUGAAACAGCCGAAUACUGUACCAUAGAUGGUGAAAGUCCAGUAAUUUAAAAUUUCCUAUUAAUUUAAAAUUAUCCCGAGUAGUAUGGGACACGUGAAAUCCCGUAUGAAUCAGCGAGGACCACCUCGUAAGGCUAAAUACUCCUAGAUGACCGAUAGUGAAAUAGUACCGUGAGGGAAAGGUGAAAAGAACCCCGGAAGGGGAGUGAAAAAGAACAUGAAACCCUAUGCUGACAAACAGUGGGAGGUUAUAAAGUAACUGACCGCGUGCCUGUUGAAGAAUGAGCCGGCGACUUAGAAAAUAUGGCUUGGUUAAGAAUUUUUUCGGAGCCAUAGCGAAAGCAAGUCUGAAGAGGGCGUUUUUAAAGUUAUUUAUAUAGAAGUAGAAAUAAGUCAUAUUUUCUAGACCCGAACCCGAGUGAUCUAACCAUGGUCAGGAUGAAAGUUGGGUGAAACCAAGUGGAGGUCCGAACCGACCAAUGUUGCAAAAUUGGCGGAUGAACUGUGGUUAGCGGUGAAAUACCAGUCGAACUCGGAGCUAGCUGGUUCUCCCCGAAAUGUGUUGAGGCGCAGCGUUAUAUUAAGUUUAUCUAGGGGUAAAGCACUGCUAUGGUGCGGGCUGCGAGAGCGGUACCAAAUCGUGGCAAACUCUGAAUACUAGAAAUUACAAUAUAAUAGUGAGACUAUGGGGGAUAAGCUCCAUUGUCGAGAGGGAAACAGCCCAGACCACCAGCUAAGGCCCCAAAAUGAUAGUGUAGUGAUAAAGGAGGUGAAAAUGCAAAUACAACCAGGAGGUUGGCUUAGAAGCAGCCAUCCUUUAAAGAGUGCGUAAUAGCCCACUGGUGUUAGCGUUUUUGCGCCGAAAAUGUCCGGGGCUUAAUUAUCUGCCGAAGCUGUGGGAUAUUUUUGUUUUAUAGAGGUUAUUUUUUAAUAACCAAUUUAAGUAUUAGUCUUAAUUUACAAGACUUUCCAAAUGCUGCUCACAACAUCUCAAAUUAUUAAUACUUUGUUAUAUUCAAAUUGUCUGUAGUUUUAUAAACAAAACUACUUUUAAACAAAAAUAUCGGUAGGGGAGCGUUCUGCUUGGGGAGAAGUUUUAAUGAAAAUUUUAAUGGACUGGGCAGAAGUGAGAAUGUCGGCUUGAGUAACGCAAACAUUGGUGAGAAUCCAAUGCCCCGAAAACCCAAGGAUUCCUUCACAAGGUUCGUCCAUGAAGGGUGAGUCAGGACCUAAGGCGAGGCCGAAGGGCGUAGUCGAUGGAAAACAGGUUAAUAUUCCUGUACUAUUUUGUAUUUGAUACCAGGGGACAGAAGAGGUAGCAAUUUGCUGUUAUUGGAUUUCAGUGUAAGCUUAAAAGGUUUAAGAAAGAAAAAAAACUUUCUAUAAAUUAACUAAUUAGUAAUACAUUUAUGUUAUAUAAAUAAAUUUUCUAUCAUAUUCUCAAGAAAAGCCUGUAUUAUCAAUAAAUACAAAAUACCUGUACCUUAAACCGACACAGGUGGGUUAGUAGAGUAUACUAAGGGGCGCGAGAUAACUCUCUCUAAGGAACUCGGCAAAAUGGCCCCGUAACUUCGGGAGAAGGGGUACCAGGGAAUGAUUUUUCAUUUUUUGGUCGCAGUGACCAGGCCCAGGCGACUGUUUAUCAAAAACACAGGUCUCCGCAAAGUCGUAAGACAACGUAUGGGGGCUGACGCCUGCCCAGUGCCGGAAGGUUAAAGAAAUAGGUUAUUCUUUUUAAGAAGAAGCUUGUAACUGAAGCCCCGGUGAACGGCGGCCGUAACUAUAACGGUCCUAAGGUAGCGAAAUUCCUUGUCGGAUAAGUCCCGACCCGCACGAAAGGCGUAACGAUCUGGGCGCUGUCUCGGAGAGAGACUCGGUGAAAUAGAAAUGUCUGUGAAGAUGCGGACUACCUGCACCUGGACAGAAAGACCCUAUGAAGCUUUACUGCAAUCUGAAAUUGAUUUGGAGUUUUUUUUGCGCAGUCUAGGUGGGAGGCGUGAAACCUUUUCUUUUGGGAAAAGUGUAGCCAAAAAGUGAGAGACCACUCUAAAAAAACUAUGAGUCUAAUAGCGUCCCUUGAAGCAGGGCGCUUGACAGUUUCAGAUGGGCAGUUUGACUGGGGCGGUCAUCUCUUAAAAGGUAACAGAGAUGUGCAAAGGUUCCUUCAGGCUGGACGGAAACCAGCUGUUGAGUGUAAAGGCAUAAGGGAGCUUGACUGUAAGACUUACAAGUCGAGCAGAGGCGAAAGCCGGCCUUAGUGAUCCGACAGUUCCGUGUGGAAGGGCUGUCGCUAAACGGAUAAAAGUUACUCUAGGGAUAACAGGCUGAUCUUCCCCAAGAGUUCACAUCGACGGGAAGGUUUGGCACCUCGAUGUCGGCUCAUCGCAACCUGGGGCGGUAGUACGUCCCAAGGGUUGGGCUGUUCGCCCAUUAAAGCGGUACGUGAGCUGGGUUCAGAACGUCGUGAGACAGUUUGGUCCAUAUCCGGUGUAGGCGUUAGAGUAUUGAGAGGAUUUUUCUAUAGUACGAGAGGACCUAGAAGGACAUACCUCUAGUAUACCAGUUCUUAUGCCAAUAGGAAACGCUGGGUAGCUAUGUAUGGAGAAGAUAACCGCUGAAAGCAUCUAAGUGGGAAGCUCACCUCAAGAUGAGUACUCUCUUUUUUUAGUUUUUAACUAAAAAAAAUCGGUCCCGGUAAGACUAACCGUUUGAUAGGUAUUAGGUGCAUAUCCAGUAAUGGAAGUAGCUGAAAUAUACUAAAAGACCGAGCGUUUUUGACCA